AGAGGAGGGGAGACACCAGUCUUCUAAAGCAGAGCAAGCCCCUUCUGAGAACUACAGAGGAAGCAAAUGUUGCAGAGGAGAAGAAAUACAUUACAUUAAUUGUGAAAAGCAUUUUUGGCAUCCCUCAAAGUGGACGUGUUUACCUGCAAGCUGAUGCAGAGUAUACAGGCUUCUGUACAGAUCUUCCAAAGAAGCAUCGUUGCCAGGCAGCUUGAUUGUGGUAGAAUCAAUUCAGCAUGCCAAAUCAUAGCCAUGGAAAAACAAGUUCCCUGUCCUGAUGAUACUCAGUGCCUCCCAGCACUUUCAACCCAUCUUUGCAGGAUCAAAAGGAGACUAGGAGGACAGCAGCUGCCUGAGGAUCCCACUGGAAGGGCUGGCUUCCAGAGGCCUUUCCUCCCUCAGGCUGCAGUAGGUCCAGGCGUGAAAUUCCCAGGUUUGACCUUCAGGGGCCCUACAGCUGCCUUGGUGCUCAUAUCCACCACCUUUCAGGACUGUUGUGGUCAGAGCCCUUCUACUUCCUCACCCUGCUGUGGUAGGGAGGUUCAAGGUGUCCUGGCAGCAGGAAGCUCCUUUGCUCCACCCUCUGCCCUGCAUGCUGGCUGA
RNAcentral lists this long non-coding RNA (603 nucleotides) under Phasianus colchicus (ring-necked pheasant). RNAcentral describes it as "lncRNA (ENSPCLG00000003230.1)". Lineage: Eukaryota; Metazoa; Chordata; Aves; Galliformes; Phasianidae. The record is from RNAcentral.